AGAAAUAGCAAAAAGACAAAAAAAAAAAAAAAAAAAAAAAAAGCUCUCAGUUUUAAAUCUAAACUUGAGGCCAGUAAUCUCUGCACCACCCCUACCACCAAAGGACACCUUGGCCAUAACCUUGAGCUGCAUCUCUCGCAGGGAUGGGCCUGCUCUGAGCCUGCCUUGACUGCAGGGAGGAUGAAUAAUUGGAAAGCCCAGCCUGCUGCCCUUGGCAUUCCUUGAGCUCUGAGUGACAUCACCCCCGGAAGCCUCUGUUGCUUGGGCCUCAUGUGAGGUUCUGCCUGCUCGGGGGUGGUGAGGGAGGGGAAUGAUUUGCAGCCUGAACAGGAGCAGCCUUGCAGCGUGCUCAGAAAGUGGAUGUAAAAGGAAGCAUUCUCAACAUUCCAUCCCACUGCUUCACUGCACUGGAAGCAGAGGUGAUUCAUGAGUGAACUCCUUGUAAGCAUAUAUCAGGUGCAGCAGAUUCCAGCCCUUCCAUGUAUCCCUCCAGACUCUGUAGUGGAGAUCUAGGUGGCCAGAACUUACAAGAAACUCGCCCUUCAGUGGAAGAAAUGGGCAUCCAGUAACCUAGUCCCCAAACAAGAAUAGGCCUGCUGAGAUGCAUCCUGCCAGUGCAGUUCCUUUAUUAUUCCACAAGUCUGUAUUGAGCGCUCACCAUGAGCAAACAUUUUAUUGAGCACCUGCUGUAUGCUUCUGGCUAAGCAUGUUCACCUGAAUAACUGAUUUAACCUCAGUACAUCCCAGUGAAGAGGGCCUGGUUCAGAUGAGAGCAUCCAGGUUCCGAGAGGUUAAGUGACUUGUUCAGGGUCACAUAGCAAGACAUGCAGUGAGUUUCACACCCUGAGCAGAGCCCAACAGGUUGAGCUGACCUUUCCCUUCUGUCUUUUUUAUGAGUUUGUAUCAAAGCCCCCAUCCUUCAUGAUUACACUUGAUUAUUUACGUUUCCCUCUCUCCCCCUGACCAAGGAGCCAGUUCCGAAGGUCCCUGCAGUCAUAGUCCCUCGCCUACAGCUGGCCCUAGUAAGGCAUUUUGCCCAGUAAAUACACAAAAUGGGAACUCAGGUCUUGGCAUCACACUGCUCCCUCCACAGCUGAGACGGGAAGGAAGAAGGGCCCUGACCUCAGGGGCUUACUGUCUGGUUGUUAUGGACCCCAAUCCGUAUCUUGAAAGGGAAAGAAGAUUCAUGAGUCAGGCUGGGUUUGGUAAUAGUUUAAAGGGGCUGGUAAAACCAGAGGAAGGGGAGAUGGUUGAGGGUCCAGCAGUCAGGGUGGGCCAGGGAGAGGUGUAAGAACUGAAGACAGGAUUGACACAGGCAGAGGAAGGAGGCAGGGGGCAGGAGUGGGAGGUGGAGGCAGUCAGAUGUCCUCUCCAGGGAGGAGAAGGCCAUCCUGGUGGGGACCAGGGAGGCUCUGAGGAUGAUAAGGAGGUGGCGGAGUUCAGGUCCGGGAAGUAACACCUGUUUUGUGCAAUCAGGCCUUGUGCAUAUGAAGUCUAAAGAUGGCGAUUAGCCUUUGGCCUAGUAAUUCCUCUUCUGGGAAAUGAUCUUAAGGAAAAUCUCCCAAAUAUGGGGGAGGUAAAGCUAUAUUCACAACAGUGUUCAUCACAGCACUAUUUGUACAAAGGUAAAAGUGGAAGCAACCAAAACAUUUCUCAUAAGAGAAUGGGUAAGAAAUGGGCACAUCCAGCAGCCAUUACAUGUGAUGUUUUCAAAGAUUCUGAAUAACAUUCGAAAUCAAUCAUGUUAAAAUGUUGAGGGAAAUGGCAGGUGACAGAUAAUAACAAUAGGUAUAUUUAUGGAGUGCUGCUUCCUAGGCACUCAGUACUUUCUGUAUUUGGCCUCAUUUAAUCAAUACAACAACCCCGAGAGGGUGGAGUUAUUGCACAGAACAGAUUUGCAAACUGAGGCUCUGCCAGGAGGUGGAAGAGCUGGGAUUCCAGCUCGGGUCAUAUUCACUCUAGUGUGUGCCAACCUCCACCUUCUGUAACAUGCCCACGUCUAGCAAGGAGACCUGAGAGAAAUAUACCAAAUAUUAACAGUGGUUCUUUGCUCAGGAUGAGAAGUCUGUGUGGGGGUGUGAGCCCCUCUACUUUUCUGUAUUUUCCAAAUUUUUCCUUAUAAAGUUGUGAUACUCUUCCUGUAUUCUCUCUGUAUUUUCAGUUACGUAUUCUUCUUAUCAUUCUGUAACUUGGUUUUUUCCAUUUACCAGUAGGCCUCAGUGAUAUUAUCAUCUUCCAGAGGCCCUUUAUUCUUCUGGGUGGCCUCAGGCCAUCUCAUGGUAUGGAUUUGGCAUAAUUUAUGUACCUACUGAAAGACAUCCUAAUCGACAAUCCUUUGGGCAGAGGGCUUUUUUUGUUUAUAGCAGAAAAGAAUAGACUAGGGAAAAAGCACUUCCAGGUGGCUGGAUGUGUAGAUUUGGCCCAUUAGGGCUGGGGGGGAUUUAAUUAUAGGCUCCAGAUUCAAGGAUGGUCCUUGUUGGUAAAAAUGGCCAUCUGGAGUGAGUGGGUCUGUUUGCAGGAUGAGUUUCUGAUAAUAAUAUCCCCACACCCACACUCCAUUCCAGGCAGCUCUGUCAACUGACCCCCCCCUUGGCAGGUGUAGGGCUUUUCUCUUUGGGGGAAGUUAUAGAUUAGGAUCCCCCUUGCCCUUGAUUUAUAUUGACAUGCAGCUUAAUUCUGUUUAGCUGUGGGCAAAUCCUCUUCAGGAAGUGAGUUUAUUCCAAUGCCUCUGGGCUGCCAGGAUGCAGAACUGACUCUGCUUCAUUCAAUUCUACCAACUGCUUUGGGGGUCCUUUAUAACAAAUAGAGUUUGAAAAACCGGAACCUCAGCCAAUUCCUUACACCUGCUGUGUGGCCUGCAGUCAACUUUGUUAGGGCUCUGGGCUGUGUGCUGUGUUUAUAUGGAAUAAGGGCUCGGAGUUAGAAGAUUGCAAUCAGCUCUAACCUUCUGGGGCGAUUCUUUGAGGCGUUAGUGAGAAAGACACAGUGCUGCCUCAUACCAGCUGUGUGAUCCUGAGUAGGUUGUUAACUUUUCUAUCAGCUUCUCAUUUGUAAGCUGGGGUCGGUGAAACCUACCUGACAGGGUUGUGCACAUUAAAUGAACUACUGCUAUGAGUCUGGCUCCUAACACAGCGGCUAUGCCUGGAAACUGAGUGAUGAGUCAUGGGUAUAAUCCUUAAGGAUCCUAGGAAGGGCAGCCCCUCGGCUCCCUUUAGCCCCUUCUCCAAGAGGUUUCCUGAGGCUGCCCAGGAGAGUGUGUCUUGAGAGCCUCUGAUCCAGGCAAGAAAGCCUAUUCAUUUCUCAGCCAACGGGAUGGUACCCUGAAGCCACCUAAGCUAAAUUUUAGCAAGAACAACGACAUAAAAGUUCCCUUUCUAAAGGCAGAUCCUAAACCUGCAAGAGUCCAAACCCAUCUAGCUGCUGUCUGGCCAGCACAUCAUGGACCUCCUGGAGUGGUCCAUAGCUUCAUCCAUAGUUUUGGCUUCAUCAUAUCACUUCAUCCUUAGCCUUGGCAUCCAGAACAUCAACCUAAAUCUUCUAAAAGGGGAGGCAUCACUUAGUGACGUUUAAAGAUCUGAUCCAAAAUGUGUUACUAGAGAGUGAAAAAACUAAGUGGAACAAAAAGUCUAGCACUACUAUUGUG
This 3643-nucleotide long non-coding RNA is filed under the name Sus scrofa (pig). RNAcentral describes it as "lncRNA (ENSSSCG00000055065.1)". The record is from RNAcentral. Lineage: Eukaryota; Metazoa; Chordata; Mammalia; Artiodactyla; Suidae.